RNAcentral lists this ribosomal RNA (778 nucleotides) under uncultured Neocallimastigales. RNAcentral's name for it is "partial large subunit ribosomal RNA". It matches the Rfam family "Eukaryotic large subunit ribosomal RNA", at positions 26 to 643 of the family's 3401-position model. Lineage: Eukaryota; Fungi; Neocallimastigomycota; Neocallimastigomycetes; Neocallimastigales. The record is from RNAcentral.
CGUCUAUAUACGUAUAGCAUAUCAAUAAGCGGAGGAAAAGAAACUAACAUAGGAUUCCCUCAGUAACGGCGAGUGAAGCGGGAAGAGCUCAAAUUUGAAAUCUUCAAGGGUUUACCUUUACGAAUUGUAGUUUAAAGAAGUGUUUUCUGUUGGAUGUUUUGGUAAAAGUUCUUUGGAAUAGGACAUCAUAGAGGGUGAGAAUCCCGUAUUUGGUCAUUACUUCCUAGCUUUGUGAUACACUUUCAAAGAGUCGGAUUGUUUGGGAAUGCAGUCCAAAAUGGGUGGUAAAUUUCAUCUAAAGCUAAAUAUUGGCGAGAGACCGAUAGCGAACAAGUACCGUGAGGGAAAGAUGAAAAGAACUUUGAAAAGAGAGUUAAACAGUACGUGAAAUUGUCAAAAGGGAAGCGUCUGACACCAGUGUUGUUUUUCCGAAAAUCAAUUACGAAUGUUUUAUUUUUGAGGAGUUAUGACUUCAUCGGCUUGCUCCUUUCUUUACGAACUUUCUUAAUGCACUUUUCGGUUAACAAGUCAACAUCAAUUUCUUUUGUUGUAAAAGAGUAUGAGGAAGGUGGCUUUCUUUUCGGAGAAAGUGUUUAUAGCCUUUGUACUUCUGCAAUCGGAGAGAUUGAGGUCUGCAGCAUAGAUCCUUCGGGGUUAGAUACAUUUGUGCUAAGUUAUAGCCUUUCAUAGACAACUUGUUGACUAUGAUCAGUCAUGUAGCUUACUCGCUUAGUGCUAUUUUACCUACGCUUAGGAUGUUGACACACGCGCGUGCUCG